UACGGAGGGGGUUAGCGUUGUUCGGAAUUACUGGGCGUAAAGCGCACGUAGGCGGAUCAGAAAGUUGGGGGUGAAAUCCCGGGGCUCAACCCCGGAACUGCCUCCAAAACUCCUGGUCUUGAGUUCGAGAGAGGUGAGUGGAAUUCCGAGUGUAGAGGUGAAAUUCGUAGAUAUUCGGAGGAACACAGUGCGAAGGCGGCUCACUGGCUCGAUACUGACGCUGAGGUGCGAAAGUGUGGGGAGCAAACAGGAUUAGAUACCCCGUGUC
This 268-nucleotide ribosomal RNA is filed under the name uncultured bacterium. Its description in RNAcentral is "partial 16S ribosomal RNA". It matches the Rfam family "Bacterial small subunit ribosomal RNA", at positions 524 to 795 of the family's 1533-position model. The record is from RNAcentral.